UACACUCCUACGGGAGGCAGCAGUGGGGAAUAUUGCACAAUGGGCGCAAGCCUGAUGCAGCCAUGCCGCGUGUAUGAAGAAGGCCUUCGGGUUGUAAAGUACUUUCAGCGGGGAGGAAGGCGAUAAGGUUAAUAACCUUGUCGAUUGACGUUACCCGCAGAAGAAGCACCGGCUAACUCCGUGCCAGCAGCCGCGGUAAUACGGAGGGUGCAAGCGUUAAUCGGAAUUACUGGGCGUAAAGCGCACGCAGGCGGUCUGUCAAGUCGGAUGUGAAAUCCCCGGGCUCAACCUGGGAACUGCAUUCGAAACUGGCAGGCUAGAGUCUUGUAGAGGGGGGUAGAAUUCCAGGUGUAGCGGUGAAAUGCGUAGAGAUCUGGAGGAAUACCGGUGGCGAAGGCGGCCCCCUGGACAAAGACUGACGCUCAGGUGCGAAAGCGUGGGGAGCAAACAGGAUUAGAUACCCCAGUAGUCCCAUGAU
This 478-nucleotide ribosomal RNA is filed under the name uncultured organism. RNAcentral describes it as "partial 16S ribosomal RNA". It matches the Rfam family "Bacterial small subunit ribosomal RNA", at positions 332 to 801 of the family's 1533-position model. The record is from RNAcentral.